AGUUGUUGCGGUUAAAAAGCUCGUAGUUGAAAUUGUGUCCUGCGGUGUCGGUCUACCGAUUGCGGUACGACAGGCACGUCUGCGGGGCUUCUCGCCGGUGCGUCCACCGCCGGCGUGCGUCGGUCGGCCUCACGGUCGGCCGCGCACCGAGGGGGCCGUCGCGGCUGUUUACUUUGAACAAAUUAGAGUGCUCAAAGCGGGCUAACACUUGCCUGAAUAUUGUACGCAUGGAAUAAUAGAAUAGGACCUCGGUUCUGUUUUGUUGGCUUUCUGAUACCAGAGGUAAUGAUUAAUAGGGACAACUGGGGGCAUUCGUAUUGCGACGUUAGAGGUGAAAUUCUUGGAUCGUCGCAAGACGGACUAAAGCGAAAGCAUUUGCCAAAGGUGUUUUCAUUAAUCAAGAACGAAAGUUAGAGGUUCGAAGGCGAUUAGAUACCGCUGUAGUUCUAACCAUAAAUGAUGCCAGCCAGCGAUCCGCCGAAGUUUCAUAAUUUUAACCCGGUGGGCAGCUCCCGGGAAACCAAAGCUUUC
This 531-nucleotide ribosomal RNA is filed under the name Caloca saneva. RNAcentral's name for it is "SSU rRNA". It matches the Rfam family "Eukaryotic small subunit ribosomal RNA", at positions 608 to 1108 of the family's 1831-position model. Lineage: Eukaryota; Metazoa; Arthropoda; Insecta; Trichoptera; Calocidae. The record is from RNAcentral.